Molecule: long non-coding RNA, 371 nt
Organism: Phascolarctos cinereus (koala)
Lineage: Eukaryota; Metazoa; Chordata; Mammalia; Diprotodontia; Phascolarctidae
Source: RefSeq, a predicted model, not a curated record
AAGAGAUAAUUUUUAUUCUGAAGACAUAGAUUUUCUGUGAGAGACAAUCUUUUUCACAUAUCUCAAGGAAGAGAAUGAAUUCCUUUUGAGAAAAAAAAAGCAUGACGUCAUGUACCUAAAUGCCAUCAAGUGCAUUAAACCGAAUAGUUCAACACCACGGACAGCGACUGCACCUGUCUGGAUGAAGGUCUGUGAUGAGACGUGUACGACCUUUUUCAGAACCAUGGACAGUACCACAAGCUUCAAGUUCAACGCCAUUAUACUGUAAUCCACACUAAAGCACCAUAAUGUGUUAUUUGAAACCUCAAAAUGCAACCUCCACAUGAAGAGUAUCAAAAAUUAAUUAAAAUGAAAAUAAAUGUUUGUCUUCA